GGCGAGGUUUACUGUGGCUCACAGUUCCAGGCCGUGGUUGCCCAGGGCCAAGGCAGGAAGGGCACGAUGGAAGGGCCUGGGUACAGGACAGCUGCUCAUCUCAUGACAACUGGAAGCAAAGAGCAGAGGAAGGAGCCCGGCACAAGGACAGGCCUUUCCAGAGCAUUCCAUAUGGACACAGACUGAUCAACACACCAGAAUCUGCCGCGCACUAUGUCCUCCUCACACAUGGAUUGAACUCCUGCUGCCUGCCCAGCCUUCAUUCAAGGAUUCGGGGAUAUAGCAGUGAGCUAGUGGGCUGAGGAGCCUUCCAACAUGGAGCUCAAACUCUGUCAAGGGACCCAAUAUGUGACAAAGCCCGAUGCCACCUGUAAAUACCUUUUCCAGAAUCCUGACAUUUAAAAACCUCAGCGCCGGAAGGCUUUGCUGGUUGCUGGUCAGUUUUGGGGGUUUCAGCAGAAGGAGUGAUACUCAGGUGUGGAGACUCAGGGAAUGCUUCAAGAGGAAAGCAGCCAAACGGAAGCUUGUGAGAAGAGGCGAGCCUUGGAGGAGCCUGCUGGAAGCAUAAGGGGAAUUUCCUGAGGAUCCAGUGGUCCCCUGAAAGGAAACUUCUAGACACAUGGGGCACUUGGGAGACCCGGCAGCCUGGAGUUCUUCUCGCAUGCUGGUACCCCACCCUGGCACUGUGCUGAUCCGUCCACCACCGUGUUAAUCAAACUUGACAUGUUUGCCCCGAAGAAAAUAAAACUUCCCUUUGAGGAUGUGGCAGAGAGACACAGCCAGGAAAUUUUAUCAUCAGAAAAAACAAAAUCCAGAAGGGACUGAAGAAUCUGACUUCUCCUUCAUGCCAGGCAUCUGCAAUUUUGACAGUUUGCUGAUGAAAGAAAAAAAUAUCUAAACGAAAUGUCCUCUGAGCAGGGAAAUCACCUGCCUGCAGAGCGGGUGUUGGGAAGAGAGCGAACUUGUUCCUUGACAUUUCGCUUCCCCACCGAUGUUGGUUUCCUUCCUCACCUCCUCUUUUGGGGCAUCUGUGUCUCCUCCCACCCCUCCUCCUCCCUGCCGGUUGUUUCUAGUUCCCCAGCCUCAUCUGCUCACCUCGGGCCCAUCCCACUCCCUCUCCUCUUCCACCACCUGAGAUGGUCCCUCACUUUCCCUUCACGUGUUCUCUGUGGUCCCUGCUGUCAGCUGAGAGCAUGAGGAGCUCGCUGCCCACUGAUUCUGGUCAGUACCCACCCAUGCUACUAAGGGCUAUCAUAGCCAGACUCAAGCGUGGUGGGACGCAGAGGAUCUAACAAUCUCUCGUGCAAUGUCUCUCUCCCCUCCAACUAUGUUUUCCUCCAUAUAGGUUCUAUUCUCAAGCAUGUGCUUCUCAUGCAAUGCCACUCAGGAGCUCCCAGUUUAUAUUCCUGUAUCCUCACCUCCCCAGUAGGGAGAGUACAUCACUUUGCCGAAUUUCUCUUGACAUCUUCUGUGCCUACCUUUCAUUGGCUGGGCUGGGAUCACAUGCCCUUCCAUGAGCCAAUUACUAGAGCUAGGAAGAUGAGAAGGAUGAAGAUCCCUUAUAGGCUAAGCCUGGUCAUGUGUCUUCUCUGGGAGCAGGACCCUGUGGAUGGAGAGGCACGGUAAGGAAGCCGCAUGGGGAAGCCAGUGCUGUCAGAAGUGUGCCACUGGGUUUGGCAGCCAGCCCUGCAUGUAGUGCUAUGAGUGAGAGUCAAACCUAGCCCCGAGAUUGUGGCCUACGGCUGGGAUGGAGGCCACAUAUCUUCUUCAGACUGGAGCCCAAACUUGGUUCAGGGCAUGGACUUCAUGGUCAGACAGAACUGGAUUUGAGUUCGAAACCACCCACCUCCCAGUGGUACGGAGACUGGCCGCCUCUCUCGGCCAUGGCAGCAUCAGCUCGGGCUGGCCUCACGGGUGCAUGUCCCAAGGAUCCAUGUUCUACUGACCCUGUCAUGGGAAUCUUAGUGACUUGGAAGUGAAAGGCUUCAUGUUUCCAUUCUGCAGUGGGCCUGAUGAGUGACGUGGAUCCGACUGAGAUGUAAGUUGGAGGUCUGGGAUAUAGCAAGGGCUCAGUCCACCCUACAUGGUCACAGCCAGGAGCCCUGGCGGGGGCUAAUGUCCCUUCCCUGUAGGUUUCCCACUUCCGUCCCCAUUUUUACCUCCCUCUUUGUAUCACGGGCCCCGUCUUUCCUUCAUUCUUGCCCACUGGUGCACUGGCCGCUGUUCGACCCUGCUGCCUGCCAGCCAACUUCUCCACCUGCCUGUGGUCACUGCACCCUGGGCACCCCAAGGGCAUGAGCCGGAAAUGUGGUCGAGGUGAUGCCUACGAUGCCCCUUGGCUAACAGAGCACAGGGAGAAAGGAUAAAUGCUUCCCUGCUGGUGCUGGAGGGAUGGUGGGCCCCGGGAGACCCUGUCCUGAUACCCUCAUGGGUGGCUGGAGCAGCCACCCUCCCUCUUCCUCCUUCUGGGAUGUGCUUGACAUUCCCCACACCGUGGCCUCUCAGAUGGGGCGCUGCAUACAGUUCUGUGUGGAGCUGCUUGUGGGGACCAGGCAGAGGCACCCACUUUCCCCUCCCCUCAGUCACUGCUCACCUCUGAUGAUAGCAACAAAGGAACUGUCACAUGCACUGCAGUCAUGGGCCAUGUGCUCCCCACACACUUCUAGCUCCAUCCUCCACACCCCUCAGAGAUGGUCUUGCUGCUGCAUUGUGCUGGUUCAGUGUGGGCAGGGUCAUCCUCCUCUGUCUCUGGACAGGAUGUGGGUGAGUUUCAUUUAUCAGGGUUGUGGUUCAAUUUCUACAAAUGCUGCCAGGUGCCAUCUGUGGAGGAACGUGCCCGGGAUUGCCUCUCCCUGUCCCCGUGUGUCCCACAUCACCUGUCCUUGCAGCCCCUCCCCCUCUUGGUUGGACUAUGAGUUUCAGAUGAGUGAUUUUCCCCAGACAGGUCUGUGACGCACACUGUCGUGCCAGUCACUGUUUGUUUGGAGUUGGUUUGGGUUUGGGAAUUUUGUAGAAUGGCUCUGUGGGUUGCAACCAUGUUUGUAUCCAAAAUGAAACCUUAGUGACAGUGUUCCUCAUUCUCACAAAUACUUUUGAGCAGUUCUAAAGUUAUGGGUACAGAUCUGUGUGGUCGCAGGCCUCAGGGGACUUAUUGGAUCUUGGGAGGCCUCAGUUUGCAUAUGUUGUGAAAUGAGGCAGCUGGGAGGCCUGGGAGCCUCUUGGACAAGCCCAGGUUUUCAGGAAAUGGUUUGCAUGAAGGUGGAGAUGGGUAGGAAAAGUCCAUGUUUUCCUGAGUCACCGCUGAUCCCCACAGAGACACCAACGGAACUGCAUGCUGGACCUACUGAGGACUAACUUAUGCCUGGGGUAAAUUCCUCCAGGAUGGGGUGACCAACUUGUCCUGGUUUUCCCAGGACUGUCUAGCUUUAGCACUGAAAGUCCCGCCUCUCAGGAAGACACUGUAGUCCCAGGGAAGCCAGGACAGUUGGUCACUUGGCUUGGCAUUGUCAUCAGUAGAGUAGAGAUAGUAAUGGUAGGUUGUGAAGAGCAAAUGAGUUUGUGCCUGCUAAACGCAGAUGGCCAGAGAGACCAUGGUGCAGUUAGGUGAGCUGGUUCCACAAUGUGAAGAAAGGGGUUGACCUGCUAGCGGAGGCCUGGAGGUGGGAGACAGCCUCAGCUCGGCAUCCUCCCUUCUACUUUGCCUCCCUCUGUGGUCCUCAAGGGGCGGAAACACCCCCACUCAGGGCAACACAGCUGACUUUGUGUUCCAGCUGCGUGCCAAGCGGGAUGCUAAGUGUUCAAGUGCUAUGGUUGGGAUCUGGAAUUGUCCCCAAAGGCUCUACAAGUAGCCCAGGUGCUACUGGAAGGAUUUCUGGAGUUAGGCCCAGUGGAAAGAAGUUAGGUCAUUGGAGGCAUGCCUGCGAAGAGGUCCAGUUGGCCCUUCCUCUCUCUCUGCUCCCAGUUUCCAUAGGAGAGAAGCUUCCUCUGUCAUGUGCUCACAGCUUCCAGAGCAAUGGGCUGGAGGGCUCAGUAGGAGGGGACAGAUGACCUCACAUCGAGAGGCUUGAAACAGCAAAAUGCAAUUACUCGAAGUUCCAGAGGCCAGAACCCAAAAAAAAAUGUUCGCAGGGCCGAACUCCCAUGAUGCAUUAUGAUGCCACAGGCCCCAGAACGACAGCCAACAAACCAUGGACUGAAACCUCCCAAACUAUGAGCUAGUAUCAACUUUCCCUCUUUUGAGGAGAAGCCAGAGGCUCAGAACGGAAGCUCCUUCCCACAGUAAGUCAAUAUGACUCAGCCAGAUCUUUGUGGCAAAAACAUUCUCGCCCCUUUCGAGACUAUACUGAAAGAAACUUCAAGGUCAAGAAUGAAACUUUGGAGAAUGUACAUCCAGCCCACCUUGGAGCCAAGAGGAAGUCAAGGCUCUGGCUCUUCGGUGUCUUCCUCCCACUUAGCUCUGACCAGGCAGUGUCAUGUGACUUGGUGUGGCUGGGCCUGAGUGAGGCUUGCUGUUCACUUGCCCUCUGACUUCACCUCUGUGUGUGGCCAAAGCGGCUUCCACCCCAGCCAUACUUCAGAGACAGAUGCCCACGUGCAUCCUGGCAGUUAUGUGGCUGCCCUGCUCUGCUCCGUACUCUGCGGUCCUGGCCAGGCCUGGCCUUCCUGCUGCCCAGAUCCAACCCUGGCAGACGGAUGAGGCCAGAAUCUCAGGUAAUGGGGAGUCCAGUGGACUUUUCUCAUUUCCCAGACAGUCCCCAAGGGGAUUUUCAUCAAGUCGCACCAAAUCCUCUCAAGUCAAGAGGAUGCAGACUGAGUCUGUUCAGGUCGCUCAGCACAGCCCAAGUCAACGUGACUUGGCAGACAUCCACCCUGCCAGACAUGCGCGAAGGCCCUGGGGAAGGCGUGGUGAGGGUUUGCCGGGCCAGUCCAGUGGGGCCAUUGUGUCACUGCAGAAUCUCAAGGGCAGGGGUGGCACAGACUACUAAAGCUAUGAGCGGGCAGUUUGAUUAAAAAAAUAAUGAUAAUAAAGCAUAGCCGCUGCACCUGCAGACUGGGGCACGGAUCUCUGCUCUGAAAUUCACUGGCCGUGUAGCUUCCUUCUCUGACCCAGGACAUGGGGAUGGUGCUGGUGCUCACCUGAAAGUCUCUCUCUGCUUCCCAGCUGCCCAGAUUCCUCUGCUGUCUGCUCCACCAAGCCAAGCCCUUCAGGAGAUUCCAGACCGAACUGCAGCACCGGAGAGCCCCAAGGGCCCUGUUUACUGCUUGGAGUAGGAGCCAGGCCACACCUGGGAAAGCUGGGGAACAGGCCGGCCAGGCCCCUCUGGACAGGGAGAGCUAAGUUGUGUGACCAUCCUCACGUUCAGUGUCUGCUCCUGAGGGCCCAUCGAGAUGUCCUCAGGGGUGAGCAGGACAUUCUCCUCUUCCUGAGCCUGGGGCUGCACCCCCUCAGUCACAGCUUCCAGAGCACUGGGCUGGAGGGCUCACUAGGAGGGGACAGAUGACCUCACAUCCAGUGGCUUGGAACAGCAAAACGCAUUUCCUCGAAGUUCCAGAGGCCAGAAUGCAAAUCAAGACGACCGACGGCAGCGCCGAGCUCCCUCUGGAGGCUGCAGGGCAAGGUCUCUCUGCUGCUUCUAAGUGAAGAAAGGGCUGGCCUGGCAGGUGGCCAUAAGACGCAGGUUCUGACUCGGUCUCCGUAGGGCGCUCUCCUCUCCUGUGUGCCUGAGGAAGACACUCGUUCCUGGAUCUGAGACCUCCAGGGGGGAUCCAGGGUGGCCUCUCUCUGGCUCCUUCCUUGGUUGCUCCUGCAGACACCCCUUUUCUGAGCAGCAUCGUCUUCACAGCCUCGGGCCUGCCGCCUACCAGCCGAAGAGUAGACUUGGGAGUCAGGGUCCUGAGCUGGAGUUACGGGUGGCCUUAGGGACGUCCUCAAAUCUGGCCACGUUAAAUUUUCAAACUGUAAAAGAAGGAUUCUAAUAGGGUGUAUUUUAAAGGCUGAUUAAAUGGACUAACACGAGUCCCAGGUUUAGCACAGUCCUGGUCAUAUGAUAAAUACCACUAAAUGGCAGCUGGGACGGUUAUUUUAAGAUAAACUUGGUAUUUUACACAUCCUUGCCUCGGUGGCAGCUUACUGAGCCCUGUUUCUCCCUGCCUUUUGCUCCUUUCUGGCCCUCCGUGGACCCCUCCGCUCCUUCCCAGUGAUACCUGCUCACCAGGAGCUCCAGGUCCAGUCCCAUCCUGAGCCUCUGUGCUGAGGGAACCCUCUGUUGAGGAAGAAUACUGUCCUCUCCCCUCCCCAGCCGCCUCUGGGGCAGAACAUUCAAGUGCCAUUUCUGCAGAGCACUUUAUAAAAUGAGAGCGGCUGAACGCUCUCGGGUGUAGGAGUAAUUAUAAUUCCCAAGUUUCUCUGAACAUUUUUCUAACUGGAUCUUUUUGUGUCGCUGUCUCAGAAUAGACACACUUGUGGGCUUUCCUGGGCUCAAAAUAGUCGUGAGACAGGGGUUGAAAUCGACAUCCGAGUUUGAAUUACAACAACUUGGUUACAACUUCUGAUUGGGCGGCUCUAGCCAGCCACACUCGGUUCUCCCUGAAAAUAUGGCUUCCUUUUAUGGAAGAACACAGUAGCUGUGAGAAGCUGUGUUUCCAGGACGGGCGCCUCCAGUGGGCUGUGUUGCCCCUGUCUGCUCCGGGUAGGGUCUCUGCCUCCAUCAGACCCAUCUAGAAAUCCAGGCCCACUCUUCGUCCCAUGUCCCUGUUCGGCAGUGAGAGCUGGAUUGCAGCCAGACCGACAGGGUGGAAACUUGCCUCUCCCGCUCAGGACUGCUGUGACUGUAGGGAACUUGCCUCACCCCUGCUCCCCUCAGUUUCCUCUUCUGUCCAAGUGAGAUAAUCUGCACCAGCCAGAGCUGCUGGAAAGAUGAAAUGCACCGGUACAUGGGGGGCGGGGCGCUCUUAGCAGUGAUCAGAGGCGGAAAGGGCUGGCUGUGUUGAUUGCUCAGCACACAGUUAGUGCACAGUACACGUUUGUGAACCCAGAGUUAGGAGUCACUGGUUCUCCAUGACACAACCCACGAGGUCUCAAAAGGCAAGCAGGGAUCUCUACUUGGGUAGUUUCUCCGGGGGGAUCCAGGGUAACUGACACAAAUAAGGGCCAUGGGGAGGAGGCAGCCAUGGUGUUACAGCUGAAGCAGGCUGAGAAGCAAAGAGAAACUUCUCUGUCCUGGGCUCUGCAUUCCUUUUCUCCAAUGUGAUAAAAAAUGUACUUAAAAGGUUUAAGGAAAAGACAAAGCUAUUGCCCGUGCCCUGCCCCAUCCCGGGGUACAGUGCAUCAAGAGACUGAAAUUGCUCAGCGUGACUCAGGUGGGCUUGGGGAACCUCCCGCUCUGGCCGUGUCCCCAGGGAAACCCACCUCUGUGACAGAGAGAUAAUGCACCUCAUUUUGUUUUUAAGCAGUAUAUUAUUGGCUUAACUGAAAACGCAGAAGCAGGGAGAGGCCCUCACUAGCGAGUGCCUCAUUUACCCUUCACAGUGCUGGAAGGUGAGACGCUGGAGGGCAGGUGGGCCUCGUGCCACCCUUGUGCCUCCGAGGGUCUCUGCACUUUCCUGAGUGCCCGUCACACUCGGAUGGAAGGAGGAAGCUGUCCUGCCACUGCCCAGAGACCUCCAGCCACAGAGCCCCCUUUUCUCAGAGCAAGUUCAAGCACCAGGGAGACAAAAAGAAGCCAGGAGCUGGGAGUCACCGCCGUGUCUCCUCUCCGCUGAUGAUGGCCUCUAUCUCUGGAAGAUAAGGCGCUCUGCAUUUGAUUACUGCAUCGCACUGGCGGUGUAGUGCGAAGGAGCUGAUGGCUCCGGAUAAGCUGCCAUCUGAACAGUUCCAUUAUUACUGCGUCACUCGCCUCGGAGUUAAGGGUGAAGCAGGAAUAAAUACAGAAUCAGAAGGCAAAAAAGGGAUGACAGUUCCUCCUCACUGGCAGGGAAAUUGAUCUUUUCAAGUCCAGUGUCCUCCCCUUGGUUGGCCAAUGUCACUGUCUUCGUGCUCAGGGCAGCAAGGCUAUCUUUUUGUCUGGCAUCUUUAAUUCACACUUAGCAAACAGCAGGCAACAAGAACAGCAAAGGCAAGAGCCACGUCUGGACCCAGAGCGGGGCCGCUUCAGGCUGAAUUCCACGACUUGACUAUGUUUAGCCACCGUGGUGCCAGGACAUGGUGAUCUUUUUCUUUCUUUUGGGACUGUGGGAAGGAGGGGACUCUGGGCAGGGGACUGGAUCAGGGUACAGGGGUCCCGGAUGCAGCAGCAUCUGCUUCACAGGGCUUGUUGCCUACCAGGGCCGGAAGCUCUUCCUUCAGGGAGAAGGUUGAAAUUUACACAUAAUUAAAUGUCCACAUCUUAAGUCUACAGGUCAGCAACUUUUGACUUCAUUAGCUGCCACCCAAUGAAGAUCUAGAGCAUGCUCAAGGGCCCACAAAGUCCUCAGCAUUACUUUAACAAGAUAAACCAUUCAAAAAGAAUUUUUAAUGUGUCAUUUGUGAAUUUAAGAUAGUUUUUCAGCCUGAAAUCUUUGGGUUUGGCAGGAUUUGAACCAAGACUCACAGCUUAGUAAGAAGCAUCCAUUCUUUGGGGAAGGAAGGGCUGGGCACUGUCUGCUGGCCCUGUGUCCUGGACGAGCUCAUGAGGUCUCCUCCUGAGAAGGAUCUCUCUGCCCUGGUAAAGCGCCAGCCCUGCCAGGUAGGUGCUGCUGCAGCUGCCUGAGGCCAGAACACUGCAGCCCACUGGGUGGUGCACCGUACCCCUGUUCUGAGGCCGCCUCUGAUUUCAGAUGAGCUGGUAACCCUGGACUCCCUUUAUUGGAAACAGAAAGCAGCUGACCCCAAAGCGGCUGGGUGAUGGGCAGCAGUGGCAUGGGGACACAGCGAGUGCCAUGGGAAGACCAGCCCCAGUGCUCGCCUCAGAGCCUGAGGCUGCUUCCUCACCAACACCAUGCCCAAGGCUGCCGCUGAGAUGAGCACCGCAGAGACCAUAGGGUGAGGAAGAGGAGGGUGCCACAGGGAGGCCGUGCCAGUGCCACAGGUCCGGCUGGGCACUGCACAGCCCAGCACCAGCAGGGCCACAUGCACAGAAGCAGGGUAUGACCUCUUACAUCAGUGUCUUCUCAGAGCUUUUGAACCACCAGACAGGCUCUCGAGGCCUUUGAGAUGCUGUGGCUGGUUCCAGUUGGCCUGGAAAACUCCUGACCACCCCUAACAACCCAGCCUGCAUGUUCCCCCCAGUCAAUGCCGGGCCUUCCCUCCCAGCGGUGCUCCAAUUUUCCUUUGUCUACGUGCUUAUCUCCCACCUUUGCUUCCUCCAUCCAUGCAGCAGAGGCCCGGGUUUGAUGUUAGUCUCGAACUGUGUGUGUGUUCCCAACGAGGAAAGCCUCAGAACACAGACUGGCCUAGAACUAAUGCCCUUUGGCUUCCUUCCCUCCUUGUCCAGCUCUGAAAAGCUUUAUUUUUGUAAGCAAAAUCUCCACUGCCACAGUUGGGACCCCAGGGAGAGGGAUGCUUUGAUGCCAGGGGAUAGGCUUGCAGCUCCAGAUGUUUCUCUUCUUCCGUCUCUUUGGACAUAAUGAUUAUAAUGUUUUAUUAUUAUAAAGUCUCAACAGCACCAGCCAGCCUCAGCUGCCAGUAAUGUGUCGAUCCCAUCUCACAGUGGGGUCAGCUACGAAGUCGCCUGCUUGAUGACCCUCACCGAGAGCCAGGGAGAGGGACACCAGGGCAACUCAAUAAUCAAGACACAGAUUCGAAAUCAAAGCCGCUACCCUCAUCAGAAUCAACCAAGGUCUCUUGCAAGCGCUUGGUCAGAAUGAGUUUCCAAGAAGAAAUUCUGUUUUAAAUUAUUUUUUGUGGAUAGCUCAAGAUUUAAGCGAAUAUUUAGACUGCAGUUCACAAAAACCUCUCUCUUUGGGGUGGAGAGGAAAACUGGCUUUCAUUCUGCAGUUUCUGUCUUUGUCAGCAUUUCUAAUGGCAAGAAUGACAAAGUCGGCUUGCGAAGUGCCAGGACCGACAGCUGUGUUUUAUUAUUGAAUAUUUCUGGUGGUGAGCUUGGCCGCCACUCUGUUUAUGUUGCUUGUAAGAUUUCACGAAAGACUCCGCAAGGUCCUGGGCUUAAAGUGGAGCGUCUGAUCUGCUGGAUAAUUCAUUCCAUCCCUUUCAUUCCUGGGCCUUUUCUUUUGAUUUUUUUCCAAGUGCAUAUUGAGUACUGCCAGAGAAUGGAGCCUCGUGGCAGGCGUGCAGACCUUGGGUUCCUGCACUGCCCCGAGCUGGUCCUUGCUCUUGGAGGGUGCAAGGGGGCUGCUUCCCUCAGGUGGCCUAAGGGUGUCUGCUUCUCCAAGGAGCUGCUGUCCCCAAGGUCAAGCAGAGCAGCUGCAGAGCCUGUCCUGACCACGUCCUUGGAGCAAGCCCUGCCCCUCCUUGGGCAGGUUUCUCUACCCAGAGCAUUCUCUGCACUUUGUUUUCAAAAAACUUUCUAUUUUCCUUAGACCCAGCCAGACUGUGUUGGAGCACUACACUGGCUUUGGAGGUAUAAAUGCGGUCUCUGUGUUUGCCAUCGUCUCUUUCUUUUCUUUUUGAACGGGAAAAAGAAAACUUGCAGGAGCAGACGUCCAGCAAACCAGGCCACCCCUCGACCAUUUGUUUAUUCAUUUGCUUUGUCAUCAAAUGUUUGCAGACAGCUCCUGUGGGGCAUAGAAAUGGAACCAAACAUCAGCUGCCAUCUCCCUGCACCCCAAAAGGACAUCCUUUCAGCCCCCCUUCUACACUCAACAGAAUCCAAAGCUGCCUGUGCAGUGUCUGCAGCUCUUGUCAUAGUCACCUCCGAUGUGACCUCAAAAUACACCUACUUUUGGCUCUGAGGUCCACUCAGAGUCUGUGGCCACCUUUUUUGGGGGGAGGGGGGCAGAGUCCUAUGAGAGAUCCAGCCCUUCCUUGCAUUUCCACCGAAAGCCUCUACUCUCGAGACAUCUGUGGGUGUUGGAGGGUUUCCCGAGGGUUGGAGAAGUGGGAAGA
Heterocephalus glaber (naked mole-rat) is the source of this 11041-nucleotide non-coding RNA. The record is from RefSeq and is a predicted model, not a curated record. NCBI's taxonomy places the organism in Eukaryota, Metazoa, Chordata, Mammalia, Rodentia, Bathyergidae.